CAGUAGCCGCGGGAAUACGUAGGGUGCGAGCGUUAAUCGGAAUUACUGGGCGUAAAGCGUGCGCAGGCGGUUGUGUAAGACAGGUGUGAAAUCCUCGGGCUUAACCUGGGAGCUGCGCUUGUGACUGCACAGCUAGAGUAUGGCAGAGGGGGGUGGAAUUCCACGUGUAGCAGUGAAAUGCGUAGAGAUGUGGAGGAACGCCGAUGGCGAAGGCAGCCCCCUGGGCCAAUACUGACGCUCAUGCACGAAAGCGUGGGGAGCAAACAGGAUUAGAUACCCCCGUAGUCCCUGUCUCUUAUAC
Molecule: ribosomal RNA, 301 nt
Filed under: uncultured bacterium
Lineage: Bacteria
Description: partial 16S ribosomal RNA
Rfam family: Bacterial small subunit ribosomal RNA
Source: RNAcentral